AUGCUUACAGGUUAUUACGCUGGUGGUAACCCGGCAAACGUCCCGUGGCAAGCUUCACAAAUUGCAGGUGGAGCAUGUCAUUAUGGUGUCAUAGACCACACAAGAUGGUCAAAUGUAGCACAACAAGGGCCUACAACUACACUGAACAGCGACACGGGGACAUCUACUGCGCGGAGCUCUAAGCGCACGGAAGACGCGUUCCACCAACCAGCAGACAAUCAUGCCGCAAACAAUUUCGAGUCAGAGUCGGGAAUGGCAAUCAUUCCAGUAAUGCCGACAAGCACCCCUUUGAACACAAGCACUGGCAACACUCAAGUGGAUGGAACUGCCACCGAUACUGAAAGAUUUGAAUCAUUCGAACAAGCAAAGGAAUACUACCAGACAUAUGCAAAUUUCCAUGGAUUUGCGGUCAACACCGAAUACCAUAGGAAAAUUAAGAAAACUAACGAGUAUAGCAGAGGUGAGAUGAGGUGCCACAAGGCACAGAGGAACAAGAAUGGGAAAGGUGUUGCGCCUGUCGUUCCGGAACGAAAGAGAGGUAUCAUUCUCAAGACUGAGUGCCCUGUCCGGUGUAAGCUAAACGUAGAUGGAGCACAGUGGGUGGUCAAUGAAUAUUUUGACGAGCACAACCACCAACUCAUAAAGAAGUUCGACCUGGCCAAGUACCGUAGAGAGAGCAAGUUGGCAGACAUAGAGGCCAUAAUGGCCUACUUCAAUGAGAAAGCGAAUGAAGAUCCAGAUUUCUUCUACAGGAUAAGGUUGGACGAUGAGGACCGUGUCAGGAACAUGUAUUGGGUGGAUGGCAUAGAGGAGGUCUUUCCGUUGGCAGUGCACAGGCACUGCAGGUGGCACAUUAUAAAGAAGGCUGAGGAGACGCUAGGACCGUUCUUUGCUAACCGUCCAGAGCUGCACAAGGCAUUCGAGCUGUGCGUGGACCAUAGCUUGACGGUGGAGGAGUUUGAAAGGAGCUGGAUGGCCAUGACUGAAACACAUCAAGUCCAAGACAACGAGACUCUUGUUAGCCUGUGGGAGAAGCGAAUGUACUGGGUGCCGGCCUACUUCAUGCAAUGCUUCUUCCCCUUUCUGCAGACUACGCAGUGCAGCGAGGGGUUCAAUGCUGUUUUGAAGCGGUACGUCGGCCCUAGCAACUCAUUGCUACAGUUUGCCAAGCAGUACAUAGCUUUGCAACAAAAAAUUCUGGGAUCUGAGCUACAUCAAGAAGCGACCACGGCACUAAAAUUCCAGGAAGAAAUAAAGCGUGACAGCAUGUUCACGGCUUUCCAGGUGGACGAACAUACGUUCAAGGUGUGUUCUAUUUUGGGCGUGUCAGAUUCAGAACCUAAAGACCCAGACAAAGGAAGGAACUACUUCGUCAAAGCCUCGAUAGGCGAAGGCGAGUACUACUGCCAACGCUGCAAGUUCGAACGGGACGACAUUACAACACACGCAGUUCUGGCUGUGCAUGACGAGAGACCUGAUUCAACCAUGGAAGCCGUGAGGCACGUUGUGCUGACAAAGAACUAUGCUGAGCUAAUUUAUGAAGCGUGCAAGAGUGAUGAGACAGCGAGAGUCGCAGAAAAACACAGGAAGGCACUGAAAAGAGAGCUUGAUGAGAUCAAGAAGAGGAAAGCUGAGGAAGCCUUACACCGGUUCCCCCGCACAUCAAGUGUGCCUUCAUCCACGGGGCCAUCAUCUGAAAACUCGGAGAUAGGAUCUGGAACAGCAAGCACACAGACCCAGGUCAGGAACCCACCCCGUUCUAUCACAAAGGGUUGUUCAACAGAGAUAAGGUACAAGUAG
RNAcentral lists this ribosomal RNA (1800 nucleotides) under Triticum aestivum (bread wheat). RNAcentral describes it as "partial small subunit ribosomal RNA". The record is from RNAcentral. Lineage: Eukaryota; Viridiplantae; Streptophyta; Magnoliopsida; Poales; Poaceae.